This 352-nucleotide ribosomal RNA is filed under the name uncultured bacterium. RNAcentral's name for it is "bacterial SSU rRNA". It matches the Rfam family "Bacterial small subunit ribosomal RNA", at positions 169 to 507 of the family's 1533-position model. The record is from RNAcentral.
CCGGAUAAUCCUGACUCUCUCCUGAGAGUCAGUUGAAAGAUGGUUUCGGCUAUCACUUACGGAUGAGCCCGCGGCGCAUUAGCUAGUUGGUAGGGUAAUGGCCUACCAAGGCGACGAUGCGUAGCCGACCUGAGAGGGUGAUCGGCCACACUGGGACUGAGACACGGCCCAGACUCCUACGGGAGGCAGCAGUAGGGAAUCUUCCGCAAUGGACGAAAGUCUGACGGAGCAACGCCGCGUGAGUGAAGAAGGUUUUCGGAUCGUAAAACUCUGUUGUUAGGGAAGAACACGUACGAGAGUAACUGCUCGUACCUUGACGGUACCUAACCAGGAAGCCACGGCUAACUACGUG